Molecule: small nuclear RNA, 183 nt
Organism: Hyla sarda
Lineage: Eukaryota; Metazoa; Chordata; Amphibia; Anura; Hylidae
Product: U2 spliceosomal RNA
Exons: 1
Source: RefSeq, a predicted model, not a curated record
AUCGCUUCUCGGCCUUUUGGCUAAGAUCAAGUGUAGUAUCUGUGGCAAGACCGACUAGGAAGGAUAAACUCGAAGAUCGGACUGUGGAGCUCCAGAAAGCUCACGAUGGAAGGCAAGGCACUUGUCCUGCGGAGUGAAGUUUUGCCUGUGCUCCAAUAUACCGCACAGGCCUGGCCUCCCCAU